GCUGGGCUCGGCGGCACGCACCUGCAGUGCCAGCUACUUGGGAGGCUGAGGCAGGAAAAUGGCUUGAGCUCAGGAGUUCUGAGCUGUACUACACUAUGGAGAUCGGGUGUUUGCAGUAAGUUCGGCAUCAAUAUGGUGACCUCCCCGAGGCAGGGAACCACCAGGCUGCUUAAGGAGGGGUGAUCUAGCCCAGGUCAGAAAUGGAGGUCAAAACUGCCAUGCUGAUAAAAGAAUUCUUUAUCCUGUUCAGCCUGUGGAGAUAAACUACCUCCUGCUA
Molecule: signal recognition particle RNA, 277 nt
Filed under: Suricata suricatta (meerkat)
Lineage: Eukaryota; Metazoa; Chordata; Mammalia; Carnivora; Herpestidae
Description: Metazoan signal recognition particle RNA (ENSSSUG00005007158.1)
Rfam family: Metazoan signal recognition particle RNA
About the family: The signal recognition particle (SRP) is a universally conserved ribonucleoprotein. It is involved in the co-translational targeting of proteins to membranes.
Source: Rfam by way of RNAcentral